UCAGUCAUACAAGAUCAACAGUUACACAAUACAGAUUUGUCAUGUUGUUUUUAGACGAUGUUAACUCAAGAAACUUUGUGGUGGAAUCUUCAGAUCGUCUGCAGAGCUUUGUAACAUCUCAACCACUCUAGUCAUCGAAGGCCGAUUGUUAGGCAGUAGUUGUAUGCACCAUAGACCGAUGAUUAUCAUCUUCCUUACGAGUACAGAGGUGUCAAGUCUUAUCUCAUUAGCUGUGACACAAUAUCCCUCCAAAUGUUCAUAAAUCCAUUGAGGAAAAUAUUUGCUGCUGACAUCUGCACUUGCACUGAUAUUCUUUCUUGCUCCAACCAUCUCAAGGAUCAUCAUCCCAUAACUAUAGACAUCAGACUUGCUGCUUGCAUCUCCAAAUUGCUUUGAAAAUACCUCUGGGGCAAUGUAACCUAUUGUCCCUCUUGCACCAUCAAUAGAGAUGAUACUCUCUUUUUGUUUGCACAAUUUUGCCAAUCCAAAAUCAGAUAUCUUAGGACAAAAAUCUUGGUCUAGUAGAAUAUUGUGGGGUUUAAUGUCAAAAUGAACAAUACGAGUAUUGCACCCUCGAUGCAAAUAUUCAAGUCCCCGAGCAAUCCCAAUUGCAAUAUCAAACAAUUUCUCCCAACUAAGUGAAUCUUCAGUUUCAGAGUUUGGUCUGAAAGCAAAUCUCUCCAGUGAUCCAUUAGGCAUGAACUCAUAAAUCAGAGCCCUUUUUGAUCCCUCAAUACAAUAUCCCAACAAGGUGACAACGUUAACAUGAGAAGUUCUGCUGAUGCUUGCUACCUCAUUCAUGAAUUCUUGGCCAUCAUCCUUGCAAGACUUCAGUAACUUCACUGCAAUUGGCUUGCCAUUUGGCAUCUUGCCCAUGUAAACAGUACCAAAGCCACCUUGGCCGAGCUUGUGACUAAAAGAUUUGGUCAUUGUUUUCACUUCUGAGUAAGAAUAUCUCUUUGG
This 963-nucleotide small RNA is filed under the name Oryza sativa Japonica Group (Japanese rice). Its description in RNAcentral is "sRNA Os05g0550650". The record is from RNAcentral. Lineage: Eukaryota; Viridiplantae; Streptophyta; Magnoliopsida; Poales; Poaceae.